Acanthosepion pharaonis is the source of this 112-nucleotide non-coding RNA. NCBI's taxonomy places the organism in Eukaryota, Metazoa, Mollusca, Cephalopoda, Sepiida, Sepiidae. The record is from the annotation of a GenBank genome assembly.
UGGCCACAUCACGUUAAAACACCGGCUCGCGUACGCUCAACGAAGUUAAGCAACGUCGGGUCUGGUUAGUACAUUUAAUGGGUGACCGCUUGAGAAUACAAGGUAAUGCAAG